This 254-nucleotide ribosomal RNA is filed under the name uncultured bacterium. Its description in RNAcentral is "partial 16S ribosomal RNA". It matches the Rfam family "Bacterial small subunit ribosomal RNA", at positions 524 to 776 of the family's 1533-position model. The record is from RNAcentral.
UACGUAGGGUCCGAGCGUUGUCCGGAUUUAUUGGGCGUAAAGAGCUCGUAGGCGGUUCCGUAAGUCAGAUGUGAAAACUCAGGGCUCAACCCGGAGACGCCAUCUGAUACUGCGGUGACUGGAGUCUGGUAGGGGAUCACGGAAUACCUGGUGUAGCGGUGAAAUGCGCAGAUAUCAGGAGGAACACCGGUGGCGAAGGCGGGUCUCUGGGCCGAUACUGACGCUGAGGAGCGAAAGCUAGGGGAGCAAACGGG